AUUUUAGCGAGGGAGGAAGGAAUCCCAGAAAAUAUUCUCUCUCUCACACACGUUGAUUUUGAAAAUCCAAAAUCCAGACCUCAUCUCUCCUUUUCCUCCGUCUAAGUCUCCUCCCCUCUAUCCAUUCGAAGUCCAAAAGGCAACAAGAGAAAGUGGGAGAAACCAACGAAUUGGGGGAAAGGUCAAGUUUCUCUCAAUCUCUCACUCUCCAUGUUUUCUUGAUCUGACCAAUUGCACGAUGGCCAAAGGACGUACGAGAAGAACAACCAGAAGACAACGAUCCUAGAUUUCUCAACAUCAAAGUGUAUCCCGAUCUCGAUAUCCAUCUUACUGUUCCCAGGGGUAGAUGAUGAGUCAGUGGUCCUUUACUUGAAACGAGAAUCAUAGGUCACCAACACAUGAUCCGGAACAAUAUACGAGGCAACUUCUCUAUGUACAUAAACAGCCUUUCGAUUACCUUGAUACUGCUUAACACUAUAGUCACUGAACACAGUCAAAUAGCUGCAAAAGAAGGUGGACAAUUACUUGGAUAAUUUAAAAUGAUCUGUUCUUUGUUCUUUUAUGAAUCCACUUUUAAAUAAGGAUGGGCCCUACGAGAAGCCUAUUUUUUCAGCAGACAUUCACAGGAAAGUCAACUUUAGAUUUGUCAAAGGUGGUCAAUAAUCGCACGGGUUUUGUUACCAUGAGGUUGCAAGGGCCUUUAGGGGGGAAAUAAUCGUAUUGGUGUACUCUAUAGCUCAUUACGGAUCUAAAUGUAUUUUGAAUGGUGUUGUGCACAUUAAUGAUCUUCCUUUAGUCACUAUUAGUUUUUUAUAGUACUCCGUAAUUAAUGCUCAUUUCAUCUUUACUUUGUUGACAUAAAUCAUCCUUAUUUUGUUGUUUCUCUUGCCCCAUUUUCAGGUUUCAGAGAGGUGAACCCUAAUGGAAUACAAUAUAGUAGUAUUUUGUUAGUGUUUUGCAACUGUGUUAGAUUUGUGUAAAAUGAUCUUUUCUUUUAUCUCUAAUUUUGUUGUUUUUUAUUUAUGCCUUGAUAGCAGCAAGGGGUGAAUGAUAGUAGAAAAGUUAUUGAGAUUGAAUGUGAUUCAACAAUGCAAGGGCUGAAUAAAUUCUUCAGGUUGAGAUUGAAUUGGUU
Molecule: long non-coding RNA, 1132 nt
Organism: Rhododendron vialii
Lineage: Eukaryota; Viridiplantae; Streptophyta; Magnoliopsida; Ericales; Ericaceae
Exons: 4
Source: RefSeq, a predicted model, not a curated record